Molecule: long non-coding RNA, 1341 nt
Organism: Neogale vison (American mink)
Lineage: Eukaryota; Metazoa; Chordata; Mammalia; Carnivora; Mustelidae
Exons: 5
Source: RefSeq, a predicted model, not a curated record
UCAAGCCUGACAGACUGUUUAUGGGUUUUGGCAGCAGAGUGAGGUCUGUGCACAAGAAGGGCCGAUGAGGGAAACUCCACAGAAGAAUCUGGAGCGAGAGAAGCCUGGCCUUGCUGGGAAAGGGCAGACUGGCAUAGAAGGGAGGAUGACCCUGUGUGCUUCCUGCAAUGACCAACGUGCUUCUCCGCCUCUACCCUGAGCAGAGCUGAAGGCACGUUCUGUCCCGACGGGACAGUAGCAUCUCCGUAAUUACAUUACUAAAGGAAAAAAUUCUGCAUUUCGGAUUCCCUCAAAGCCAGCAGGACCACUGCAUGAAGGAGGUGAUGGAACACAGAUGGCGUCAGACAUGUGCCAAACGUCCCCUGCGGAAGAACACCUCCUCUGAGGGAAGUCAGGACAGGAGCAGCCCUGUGGAGAAUCCAAGUAGCGAGGUGCGGAAGCCUUCUUCCAGUCACCAGUGUUUUUGAAGGUCCUGAGAACGCCCCCAAGUUUGUUGAUUGGCCAGAAGGACUCACAAGACUGAAGAGAAGGUUACAGAUAACUGAGUAAAGCAGCAGGGAAGAUAUUUUCACUGGGCAGAGUUCAGACACAGUCAGAAUGGGCUUUGGAGCCUUUCAUCAGAGGCCACACAUGACGUGAUUUCUCUCCAACAGCGACUGAUAAGAACAUGUAUGGUAUGUGUCUACACAGGGAAUCCUGCUGGAGCCUCGGGGUCCAAGGUUUUUCUGGUGUGCUGGUCACAUGAGCAUAUCUUGCUGUGCAACCAGCUGUGGCAACUAAAACUCAGGACCUCCACAGUGGAACUAGGCGCAUAACUUAAUUUUGAUAUUUGUGCAGAGCAACUUGACAAGCUAGUCCAGUCCUGCCCAUUUUUCCAUGUAUACGCAAAUAAAAUCGUCAUCUGACACCUAAGGGCCUGUAUCCCCAGUGGUUGGCCAAGGGUCAUUCAUGGUUCCAGAUUCUUCUGGAGAUAUGCAAGGAAUAAACAACUAGAGCAGUUUUGUUAACCCUUUCCUUUCCACUAAGGUGGCCCACAUCAGUUAGCAUCAACUUCUAAAUAUGUUGACGAAUGAGUCUUCAGAAAAUUCUAGCCUCUGGACUUCAAAUCUUCCAGCUUAGGCCCCCAAAAUUGUGAAGCAGAAACAAGCAUUCCCCUCUGCUCUGGCAGAAUUCCUGAUUCACAAAAAACUAUAACGAGUAAUAAAUGACUAUUGUUUGAAACCACCAAGUUUGGAGAAAGUACGUUAUGCAGCAAUAGACGAAUAACACAGGGUAAUAUUUUCUUGUUUCUUUGCAAAUCUGGCAUUUUUUAAAAAGGAUUUUAUUUUAUUUAUUUGAGAG